UGGGGAAUAUUGCACAAUGGGCGCAAGCCUGAUGCAGCCAUGCCGCGUGUGUGAAGAAGGCCUUCGGGUUGUAAAGCACUUUCAGCGGGGAGGAAGGCGAUAAGGUUAAUAACCUUGUCGAUUGACGUUACCCGCAGAAGAAGCACCGGCUAACUCCGUGCCAGCAGCCGCGGUAAUACGGAGGGUGCAAGCGUUAAUCGGAAUUACUGGGCGUAAAGCGCACGCAGGCGGUCUGUCAAGUCGGAUGUGAAAUCCCCGGGCUUAAACUGGGAACUGCAUUCGAAACUGGCAGGCUAGAGUCUUGUAGAGGGGGGUAGAAUUCCAGGUGUAGCGGUGAAAUGCGUAGAGAUCUGGAGGAAUACCGGUGGCGAAGGCGGCCCCCUGGACAAAGACUGACGCUCAGGUGCGAAAGCGUGGGGAGCAAACAGG
RNAcentral lists this ribosomal RNA (429 nucleotides) under Chloroflexota bacterium. RNAcentral's name for it is "Chloroflexi bacterium partial 16S ribosomal RNA". It matches the Rfam family "Bacterial small subunit ribosomal RNA", at positions 355 to 776 of the family's 1533-position model. The record is from RNAcentral. Lineage: Bacteria; Bacillati; Chloroflexota.